RNAcentral lists this ribosomal RNA (274 nucleotides) under uncultured bacterium. RNAcentral's name for it is "partial 16S ribosomal RNA". It matches the Rfam family "Bacterial small subunit ribosomal RNA", at positions 523 to 796 of the family's 1533-position model. The record is from RNAcentral.
AUACGGAGGAUCCAAGCGUUAUCCGGAUUUAUUGGGUUUAAAGGGUGCGCAGGCGGCCUUAUAAGUCAGUGGUGAAAUCUCCCGGCUCAACCGGGAAACUGCCAUUGAUACUGUAAGGCUAGAAUACAGACGAGGUAGGCGGAAUGUAGCAUGUAGCGGUGGAAUGCUUAGAUAUGCUACAGAACACCAAUCGCGAAGGCAGCUUACCAGACUGUAAUUGACGCUAAGGCACGAAAGCGUGGGGAGCGAACAGGAUUAGAAACCCGAGUAGUCC